This 725-nucleotide long non-coding RNA is filed under the name Monodelphis domestica (gray short-tailed opossum). RNAcentral's name for it is "lncRNA (ENSMODG00000049387.1)". The record is from RNAcentral. Lineage: Eukaryota; Metazoa; Chordata; Mammalia; Didelphimorphia; Didelphidae.
UGCUUAAUUACAUGAUUCAACAAGUAUACGUUCAGUUCUUCCUGUAAGCAAGGUCCUAUAUGAAGAGUUGGGUUUGGAGAGGGGAAAGGCAGAUCACAGCUCUGAUUUCAUUGCAGGUCCAAAGCUGUUUACUUUCUGGAGGGAAUCCAGAACAGAGAAGGACACUGCGCGUCUAGAGGUCUGCUGCUGCUGCUGCUGCUGCAGGUCUCCCUGGAGAACGUGGGACUCAUCACAAUGGCAGGGGAUUGCCCUGCUGGUGAUGGCAAGUUCAACUCCAUUCUGAAGUGCUUUUGGAGAAGAAGUUGAUAAUAAGUGCUAAUUUAAAGCAAGGAGGCUUAAAGGCUACAUACCUGACUUAAUGAGGUAAUAGAGAGAAAGACCAUCCAUGGCUUUUUCUAUGACUACUAUGACACUAUUUGAAAAGGAAUUUUAAUAUAGUUGUUUUAUUUGGGGGAAUGGAGUGGGAGGUCUAUUAAAUCAAUCACUCCCACCCCACUUAGCCCUGAUAUCUUUUUCAGAUGAGAAUAUAUCUCCAUUGAAUUAAUUGAUGAAGGGAAUUUCAAUUAGAUGUCAAAAGAAGGUUGUUUGGUUUGUUUGAGGAAAUUUGGCUACAACCUGUGUGUGGGUUUUAUAUAAAAGAGCAAACAAAUUCAGAAUCCAGGUAAUAUGUUGCCAUGAGAAACUGCUGUAGGAAGAGGGAACAGAAGAAUGGAUAUGACCUCCUG